This 253-nucleotide ribosomal RNA is filed under the name uncultured bacterium. Its description in RNAcentral is "partial 16S ribosomal RNA". It matches the Rfam family "Bacterial small subunit ribosomal RNA", at positions 524 to 776 of the family's 1533-position model. The record is from RNAcentral.
UACGGGGGGGGCAAGCGUUGUUCGGAAUUACUGGGCGUAAAGGGCUCGUAGGUGGCCAACUAAGUCAGACGUGAAAUCCCUCAGCUUAACUGGGGAACUGCGUCUGAUACUGGAUGGCUUGAGUUUGGGAGAGGGAUGCGGAAUUCCAGGUGUAGCGGUGAAAUGCGUAGAUAUCAGGAGGAACACCGGUGGCGAAGGCGGGAUCCUGGGCCAGUACUGACGCUGAGGAGCGAAAGCGUGGGGAGCAAACAGG